This 91-nucleotide transfer RNA is filed under the name Pseudomassariella vexata. It matches the Rfam family "tRNA". Rfam says of the family: Transfer RNA (tRNA) molecules are approximately 80 nucleotides in length. Their secondary structure includes four short double-helical elements and three loops (D, anti-codon, and T loops). The record is from Rfam by way of RNAcentral. Lineage: Eukaryota; Fungi; Ascomycota; Sordariomycetes; Amphisphaeriales; Pseudomassariaceae.
GCGGGUUUAACUCAGUUGGGAGAGUGUCAGACUGAAGUCAAACUUCAUCAUGUAAAUCUGAAAGUCGUGUGUUCAAUCCACACAAGCCGCA